This 632-nucleotide long non-coding RNA is filed under the name Citrus sinensis (sweet orange). RNAcentral describes it as "long non-coding RNA (CSIN_LNC005757)". Lineage: Eukaryota; Viridiplantae; Streptophyta; Magnoliopsida; Sapindales; Rutaceae. The record is from RNAcentral.
UUGUAGAAUACUUAUGGUAAAUCAUUAUCUAGUGUCACCAACAGUUUCAUCUUUCAUCUACCCCAACAAAAUCUAAUGCUUAUAGUUAUAUAGACAACGAGAUUACAAUAUCUAACUAUAUAUUCAACUGAGAAGAUGGGAUUGAAAAAACAAAAAUGUGCUUAGGAAAGGAUAUUUAGGGAUCACAUUUAGCAAUUUCUGUCAUUUGUCAACUUUAACCGCCAAGGAGGAACAAACGGUUCCAAGAAAUUCAAUGCCGCUCAGGAGGGCUUGGUACAUUAAAAAUAACCAGAGUAAAGGAACACCUUUUCAAUUCUAUACUUUCAGAGGUAGAGUGAUAGUGAUAUAACAUGAUAUAUCAAAAUCAGGUUAUAUAUAGUUUCUUUCACAUCAAUAAAUUAUACUUUCUAUCACAGUAGAUUAUACUCCCAUGUCACCACCAAAUUCGAAAGGCGGUCAAGCAAAUAAUAUGAGACCAAAGGAUAUAAAUGAUUCAUACAGUUUUCCUAAUGUUUGUGCAAAUGUGCCUGGUUGGUUGAUAAGAAACUAGAGACUAUUGGAUAUAUAUUAGUUGAGAAGAGGCAACUUAAUUAAAACGCACCUUCUGGUUCCUAUAUGGCUCUCCUCUCACA